GAUCCUGGCUCAGGAUGAACGCUGGCGGCGUGCUUAACACAUGCAAGUCGAACGAAGCACUUAAGAUUGAUUCUUCGGAUGACGUCUUUUGUGACUUAGUGGCGGACGGGUGAGUAACGCGUGGGUAACCUGCCUCACACAGGGGGAUAACAGUUAGAAAUGACUGCUAAUACCGCAUAACCCGAUAGGAUCGCAUGAUCCAAGACGGAAAAGAUUUAUCGGUGUGAGAUGGACCCGCGU
This 240-nucleotide ribosomal RNA is filed under the name uncultured bacterium. Its description in RNAcentral is "partial 16S ribosomal RNA". It matches the Rfam family "Bacterial small subunit ribosomal RNA", at positions 15 to 236 of the family's 1533-position model. The record is from RNAcentral.